GGUUAAGCUACUAAGGGCACACGGUGGAUGCCUUGGCACGAGAAGACGAUGAAGGACGCGGCUACCUGCGAUAAGCCACGGUGAGGUGGAAGCAACCUAGGACCCGUGGAUCUCCGAAUGGGGAAACCCUGCUACCUUAAUAGGUAGCAACUGCCAGCU
Molecule: ribosomal RNA, 159 nt
Filed under: Sedimentisphaerales bacterium
Lineage: Bacteria; Pseudomonadati; Planctomycetota; Phycisphaerae; Sedimentisphaerales
Description: partial 23S ribosomal RNA
Rfam family: Bacterial large subunit ribosomal RNA
Source: RNAcentral